AAAAAGACAAACCCUGGUUUCCGUGUGAAAUGUUUGACUGUCAGUUUUAUAUGAAAUAAAUCUUUUUAUAAUUAGUAUUUUCAUUGUUGUUAGAUGAUAAAACAUGAUUAAUACUUUAUGCGUGACUUAUCUUUUUAAUUUUUUUCAUAAUUUUUUCAUAUAAGAUGCAUGGUCAAACGUUGAACACGGAAAUCCAGGGAUUGUCUUUUU
Molecule: microRNA precursor, 210 nt
Filed under: Oryza barthii
Lineage: Eukaryota; Viridiplantae; Streptophyta; Magnoliopsida; Poales; Poaceae
Description: MIR812 microRNA precursor family
Rfam family: MIR812 microRNA precursor family
Source: Rfam by way of RNAcentral